This is a long non-coding RNA of Piliocolobus tephrosceles (Ugandan red Colobus), 7470 nucleotides long. RefSeq lists it as uncharacterized. The record is from RefSeq and is a predicted model, not a curated record. NCBI's taxonomy places the organism in Eukaryota, Metazoa, Chordata, Mammalia, Primates, Cercopithecidae. The transcript has 3 exons.
UUGCAGUGAGCCGAGAUCGCGCCGCUGCCCUCCAGCCAGGGGGACAGAGCGAGACUCCGUCUCAAAAAUAAAAACAAAUAAAUAAAUAAAUAAAUAAAUAUUCUUGAGACUUUGUUUUGGAACACUGUAAAGUUGUUGGAAACAGUCUGAUUAUUUCAAGGCUUGCUUUUAAGCUUUGUUAGGUGGGCAAGAGCAGCCUUUAGUUUUUCUCCAUUCACUGAAGCAAUAUCCUUCUGAGUACUUUACCUGAUGCUCUGUUCAUUAUGAGGUUUUUUCUUUGGCUGUAGUAGCAUGAACUAUUCCCAGAUUUGUGUGAACUUCUGGAAUUUUUCUGCCUGCUUCUUGAAGGUUCUUAACCUGUUCUUGGGUAUUCCCUCAUAUGCUUGUGCUGAUCAAUAUUCAGCCAAAGACUUGAAAGGAGCCCUCUGCAUGUCUCUGGAACCCUCCCUUCUCUGUGUAGCUGCAUUCUGUCUGGUACUCCUACCUAUAAAUUCUAGACCCCAGGGCCUUCCCCAAAUUCUCAAUUCGGUCUCCUCAACUCAGCAAGACUGCUUGGUUCUUUUUGGGUUCUCCCUUUUUGCACCACAGCCUAGAAACUGCCUCCUUGUAAAACUGCUUGAAUGCAAUAAUCUUGGAGCAAUUAUGGGACUCACUUUGUUUAAUUCUACUAUCCUGUGCUGCCUGGUGUCUAAUAUCUAAAAUCCACUUUUUCGUAUUUUUAAAAUUGUUUUUCAGUUGUUUGAAAUUUGAAGAGUAAGACAACUCUUCAUUACCUUAGUAAGUGAGUUUCUCCAGUUGCUCAGGCCGAAAGCUCCAUAUCUAAUCUACUACCAUGUCAUGCCAGUUCUGCACUUCCACAGCUACUAGGUUAAGCCUCCUUCACUCUCACCUGGACUACUGUGUGACCCACCGAUCUGUUUCCAUUCUUGUCUCCUACAGUUGGGUUUUCAUAGCCACAUGAAUGAGCAUCAAAAUUUGGAAACUAACAUUGUUCCUACUUAAACCUUUCCUGGCUUUCUCUUUGGUGGCCUCCAAGGCCCUUCAUUAUCAUGCUUGCCUUGCUUUCUAGCUUCACCUCCUUUACAGCCUCACUCCUUUACCUCACCACCACACUGACCUCCCUCUGCUCGUCUAUUAUUCCAAUUAUUCUAUUAUUCUGCUCUUCUAUUAUUCUUUCUCAUAUCAGGCUUGUGCAAGCUUGUUUCAUCUGCCUGGAAUGUAUUUUCUUAGGUUCAUCUCUGGCUGGCUGCUGCUUAUCUCUCAGCUGUCAGCUAUCAGUUCCUAGAGGGCCUUCUCUCAUGACCCUAAUUAAAGUAGUUACCCAUUUUAUCCAUUAUCAGUUAUAUCGCCUUGUUAAUUUCCUUCAUGGCACUUACCACAAUUUUAUCGUGUUUAUUUUUUGACUGUCUGUCUCCUUUCCCACUAGAGUGUAAGUCCCUUGAAGGCAGAGACUUUUUCUUGUCCCCAGAACAUAUAAUAGGUGUUCAAUAAAAAUGUGUUGAAUGAAGAAUAGACCUCAAGUAAUUUACCAUUCAUGUAGUUUUUUUUCUGUUAGGAUAGAGGAUUGUACAUUUGAUUCUUGAACAAUGCAGGGGUUAGGGGCAUCAUCCUCCUGUCCUGUCGAAAAUUCAUGUAUAACUUUGAUACCCCCAAAACUUAAUAGCCUACAGUUGACUGGGAGUCUUGCCAGUAACACAAUCAAUCAACACAUUUUGUAUGUUAUUUGUAUUAUAUACUGUAUUCUAAAAGUGAGCUAGAAAGAAGGUAAAUGUUAUAAAGAAAAUCCUAAGAAAGAGAAAACGUAUUUCCUCUUCACUAAGUAGAAGUGGAUCAUCAUGAAAGUCUUCCUCUUUGUCAUCUUCACAUUGAGUAGACUGAGGAGGAAGAGGAGGGGUUGGUCUUGCUGACUCGGGGUGGCAGAGGUGGAAGGGGAAGCACAAGAGGCAGUCACACUUGGUCUAACUCUACAGAAAUACAUUUUAAUUUGACUUUUUGCUUUUUUCAUUUCUCUAAAAAUGUUUCCAUAUAGUACCAAUCCUUCUACUGUUUGCUUUAGUUUCAGUGUCCAUAUCAUAGAAGAGUCCAUGUUGUAAAAGAAGUCAAAAGCAGCCUUGAAUAAUUGGAACCCUUCUGCCAGAUUGUCUUACAUCAGCUUGUUCUUUGGCAUUGCUUCUAAGUUUUCUUCCUUAUCAUCUUGCACUGCUUUGGAAUCACUCAUCUCCAUCAACAAGUCAUCUGUUAAUUCCUGUGGUGUGGUGUUUAUUAGCUCUUGAAUUUCUUUUGAAACCCUUCACACCCCACCUUUUUGCCACAUCCACAAUCUCUUUCAUGAUUUCCUUGACUGACUCUUUUGUAAAUCCUAUGAAGUUAUGACAAUAUCUGCACAGUUUUCUCCAGCCGGAAUUUAGUGUUUUGGGCUUGUUGACUUUCACGGCUUUUUCUGUAACAAUGAUGGCAUCUUCAGUGACAUGGCAUAAUCAUUCCUUCCAGACUUGCAUAAUGUUCUCUCUUGGGCUUCUCUUUCACAGCAUUGACAGUCCUUUCCAGAGUACUGUGUGUAAUAGAUCUAAAACGUCCUUAUGACCCCCUCAUUCCUGAAUUAAAGAUGUGUUUGGGAGCACAGAGACCACUCCAUUGCUGUGGUGUUGAAUUUAUGGGGUUUUAGGUGGUCAGGGGCAUUCUCCAGUAUCAAAAGAACUUUAAAAGGUAGUGUCUUACUAGCAAGGUACUUCCUGACUUUAGGGACAAAGCAUUGACAGAACCAAUCCAGAAAAAGGGUUCUCAUUGUCUAGGACUUCUUGGUAUACAACCAAAAGACUGGCAGCUGAUGUUUUUUAUUUUUAUUUUUUCUUCAAGGCUCGGGGGUUAGCAGCUUUACAGAUAUGUGUAGUCCUGAUCGCAAACACAACAGCAUUUGCACAGUGUUAGCUUAUCCUUUCCUGCCUAAAUCAUGGUGCUUGCUUCUCUUUCUAAUAAAUUUCCUUUGUGGCAUUGUUUCCCAGAAUAGGCACUUUCUACUGCAUUAAAAACCUGUUAAGGCAGAUUUCUUUUCUUCUCAUUUAACUUCUGAAUGGCAUCUGUGAACUUGUCUGCUGCUUCUUAGCAAAUCUACUUUCCUUUUGCUUUAAAUUGUCAUAUGACUUUGCUUUUUCUUGAAUCACAUUGGAAUCUAUAGAUCUGCCUUAGAGCACUCCUGUACUCACACGAAGCUGCAUUUUAAAUGCAGGUUAAAAAGCUGUUUCACAAAAAGUGCAAGGUUUUCAUGCCUGGUGGCAUAACUGCAGCAAAAGCUUCAUGAGUUUUCUUUUCUUUUUGCUUUCCUUUCUCUUUCCUUCUUUCUUUUUUUCUUUUUUCUUUUUUUACAAUGGUCCUUAUGCUGGACUCAUUUAUCUUGAAAUGGUAGGCAACCACAGACCCCAGUCUACGCUAUGUAAGCAAUUCAACUUUUUCUUCUAAUGUCAUGACUGUUCUGUGCUUCUUGGGAGCACUUCUGUCACUGGUGGUACUUCAUAUGGGUCUUGCAGUUUUUAUGUCCUCAAGGUUUACAGUGUCGCACUAACCACGGAAGAUAUGCAAGAACCGCAAGGGAUCACUUUUUACUGUGGUCCACGGUUUAUGAAGAGAUGAACUGCCCACACAAAGAUGGUUAGCAUCACGUGUUUUAAACAGACUCUUUCGACACUUGAAUUCACCACAAUAGCAACAGGAGGUAAUUACAAAAUAAUUAUAGUAGCUCAGCAUGUACUACAGUUAAUUUUAUGCAGUUAUGAUUUAAUACUGUAUUUUUGUUUACAUUUCUCUCAACUGUGGAUGGUGCCAGUUUGUGUACAGUUUGUGUUUGUAUGUUUCUAUAAAUUUUAACUUCUUAUAAUAGAUUUGUGUGUAUUUUAUAGUAAAUGAUAAAAUAGGCUAGUAUCUACAUACUAUUUUAAUUUUUCUGUAUUUCUAGGCUACAUGGUUUUUUUCAAAUUGUCACAAAUCUCAAAAAAAUUUUCCAAUAUACUUACAGAAAAAAAACCUGUAUAUAAGUGGACCCACACCGUUCAAACCUGUGUUGUCCAAGAAUUGACUGUAAUUUCAUGGUUCUCCCACCUUCAAUGCUUCAUUUAUCCCUGUAUAGUAAUUUCUAGGAACUUGGGCUUUUAUUUUGAUUUCAAAAAAGGAAUGCGAUUUUGGUGUUAAUUACUUGUUACUGAGAAAUUAAACCAAGAUGUAAAAACAAUUAGAUUAGGCCAUUCAUACAUUUAGUUGGAAUAGUAAUAACCAUAGAAGGGUAAGAAAAAUACCUGUUGACUUAAUUUUAUAAUCUGUAGUUGGGAAAAAUUCUCUCUCUGAAAGUUGCUAUGGGUGCAUAAUAUGCAGCAGGGGGUCCCCAGCCACCCACACUCCCCACUGGCCAAACAGCAGGAGGUAAGCUGCAGGGGAGAGUGAAGCUUCGUCUGUAUUGACAGCUGCUCACACUGCUUGCAUUACCACCUGAGCUCCAUCUCUGUCAGAUCAGCAGCAGCAUUGGAUUCUUAGAGGAGCACGAACCCUAUUGUGGACUGUGCACGUGAGGAUCUAGGCUGCGUGUUCCUUAUGAGAAUCUAAUGCCUGAUGAUCUGUCACUGUCUCCCGUCACUUCCAGAUGGGACGUCUAGUUGCAAGAAAACAAGCUUGGGGCUCCCACUGAUUCUACAUUAUGUGGGACAUCGUCAGUAGCUGUUAGAAGACAACUGCCAUCUUUAACGAUGAGUUAACGGUCUCGUCUUCUGCAAGGACUCCCAUAUUUCUCUCUGUAAACAUGCAACAUGCUAUUGAGAACAUCAACUUCCAAGCCAAACCUAACUUUUUCAUUACCGUGGAAACAGCUGAACAAGAAGGAUAAAAACAGACAUGAUACAGCAGAUAACUUGGCACAAAUACAAAGUGAGUUGUGACCACAUUGUUAAUAUCAACAUAUGUCAUUUGUUCAGACACUCAUGAGGAUGAGCUGGGCAGCCUGAGCAGGGCGGGUCAGAUGAGCGUGUGGAUGCAGCUCCUUCCUGAGUGCGAGGGAGGGCAGCCGGCCAGGGGGACAGUUGGUUCUUAGCAAUCCUAAAGGCCCUUCAUGCAGCCUAGGUAACUUGAUGCUCACAUUAACAUGUACUUAUCUGCUUCAGAAUAUCUGAAAAAAAAAAAAGGCUUUUUCUGGAAAAAUGCUGCUGUAAGAAGAUUACAACUUGUUUUUGUUUUAUACUAAAGGUUACUGCCGUUUCUCAGCCAUACCAAUAAUGCCUGUGACUUUAUUUCCACUUGGCACCUUCCAGGGCCCUGGAGUUAUCGGUGUUUUCUUAACUGGAGAACUACUUUCAGGCACAAUGUCCUUUAAUUCUUCUGCCUUUUCACAUAUCUGAACUCUCAUUAAAGAUUCUUCAAUUACUGGCACGUGAGACUCUUCAAAUAUGGAAGCAGAAUGUGAAGAUGGGGGUAAUGGUGACUGUUCAUCAUAAAUCACAUUUGACGACGAAGGAUUAUUAAUAUCCCAAUCACCUAAAAAAGUGAUUGAAUGGAACAUUAUUAAGUUUUAGAAUUACAAAUAGGAACAGUACGUUUUGAACUUUGACAGCCAUUUGAAUUGUACUAACUGCUUAAAAAGCCUGUAUUUUAUACAGUUUGUGUAUGUUUACAACAUAUCUCUCUACAAAUAUAGGCAGAUGUGUAUAAACAUCUGUUCAUACAUGAAGGAUAGGUUGUUUAUAUACAUAAAAUAAUAUUCAUUUUUUUUCCAAUUACAUAUAAUUAGUGAGAUAAUAUAUGUUCUGUAAAUUCUCUAUUAGUAAAGUCCAAUUAGAACUUACAAGUUAUAAAGUUGAACCAAAUUACCUGGCCCAAGAAGCUCACUAAUUAUUAUGAAUUGAUAUAGUUUAGGAUAUGGCAAAAUCACUAAUUAAUAAAGGAAACCAAACUGUGGUAACCAGAAUGAGGCUCAUGGGCAUUUGUAAAUAAUUCUCUUGCAUUAAGCUGUCAAAUUUAAUGUCAAAAGGAGACUGAAAAGUGCAGAAGAUAGAAAUAGAUGUAUUUAAUAGCAUCAUUUUUAAUUUAAAAGAAAACAAAAGAAGAAAGUGAUUUACAAGACAUGCAAAUUUACCAAGUCUUUUUAAGGAAAGACCAAGAAAAGCCCUGAAAGCCUUAAUGUUGCUCGGGUUUCACGUAGGAGCACAGACCGGAAGGAGCCAAACCUGAAGAGGGAAGAGAAAAAGCCUAGGACUAUGUGAAAAAAAAAAUCAGUGCAGUUAGCAAAGAUGUCACUGGGAACGUAUGAUUUACAAGCAGAUGGUGGAAGAUAAUACAGUCAGAGAAUCAUAAGCUGGAAGGCUACUGUAGGAGGUUAUGUCUACACUUAUCCCUCAAAAGUGGUAGGGUGGGGUAGGGCAGGGAGUGGGGAGCUAGAUGAGGCAAGUACUGUGUGGGUGUCGUACUGCCUUUAUUUCUAGAAUAGUGCACUCAAAAAACAGUGACUUUCAAAUACCAUGAUAUUUUAAAACAUGCAAUGGAAACCCAGGAAGUUUAACAUUAAUACAAGACAGACAUGGUCUCAGGUCCAACUCCGUGUCUCCAGGUAGGGUGAUAGCAACUUGUUUUUGCCGAGUCACCAGAAAAGCCUAAAGUUUUCAUGCUACGUAUUCAUUAUAAUAUAAACUUAUCUUGCUUUACAGAAAUAAAAAUAAUGGUUGGUAAUGUGUAAUUAGCUAAGUAAGGGAAAAAGCUGGGGUAUUUUGCAGAGAUUUAAAAUGUUUUUUAUGAUAUUUAAAUUGUGUGCCUCUAAUACACUUUUUUUAUAGGCACAUUUCUCUACAAAAACAACUAUGUUUUUUCUGAUUCAAUUUAAAAUACAUUCCAUUCCAACGAAAGUCCUGCCUAAGUCACUUGUUUUCUAAUACUAUUUAUGGUAACUCUGCUAUGUAACUAGCUUUUCAUGGUUCUAGCAUUCAUCUCUGAAUUAACUAGUAAAAUGUCUAUCCUCUGCAAAUAUAUAUUCAUUUUUCUUCUGCCCCUCCUCCAUAAUAUACAACUUUUCAGCUACUAGUGGGCUACUUGACUUACCAUGGUCAGGUAUCAAGCCAGUUCCUGGCCUCAAAAGAAGAAGAACUUUAUUUCCGCCAGCCUGAAUGAGCUCAAUUGCUCGAGUAUGUGUGAUUCCUUGUGUAGGUUCCCCAUUGAUUUCAACAAUCUGGUCACCAACCUAGACAGAGAACAUUCACAGGAACAACAUGAAACUAUGCAUCCUUUGUAAAUUCUGCUUUUGUCAGCUCUUGAGCCAUUCAACCUUGCUAAGUGAUUCUUUCGUCUGUAAAAUACCUAACGUGUACCCAGUGCUGCCCUGUGAGAGUUGAUGAGAGGACAGAUGAUAACAAACAACAGGAAGCGGCAGUGUCCAGGUUUACUCACAAAAAAAUCCUACACCGGAAAAUUUUAUAUGGCUAGUAACUAAGAUCUGGACAUCUUGAA